Molecule: ribosomal RNA, 433 nt
Filed under: uncultured bacterium
Lineage: Bacteria
Description: partial 16S ribosomal RNA
Rfam family: Bacterial small subunit ribosomal RNA
Source: RNAcentral
AACGAACGCUGGCGGCAUGCCUAACACAUGCAAGUCGAACGAGACCUUCGGGUCUAGUGGCGCACGGGUGCGUAACGCGUGGGAACCUGCCCUUAGGUUCGGAAUAACUCCCCGAAAGGGGUGCUAAUACCGGAUAAUGUCUUCGGACCAAAGAUUUAUCGCCUUUGGAUGGGCCCGCGUUGGAUUAGCUAGUUGGUAGGGUAAAAGCCUACCAAGGCGACGAUCCAUAGCUGGUCUGAGAGGAUGAUCAGCCACACUGGGACUGAGACACGGCCCAGACACCUACGGGAGGCAGCAGUGGGGAAUAUUGGACAAUGGGCGAAAGUCUAGUCCAGCAAUGCCGCGUGAGGGAUGAAGGUCGUAGGGUUGUAAAGCUCGUUUAACCGGGAGGUUAACGGCAGGACCGGGAGGAUAAACCACGGCUAAAUCCGUG